GUACUCUCUUCAAUAGCACAUAUACUAAAGUUGGAACAAAACAGGAAUGACUAGCAUGGCCCUGCACAGGGAUGGUAUACAAAUUCGUGAAGGAUUCUGUAUUUUA
Small nuclear RNA from Choloepus hoffmanni (Hoffmann's two-fingered sloth), 106 nucleotides. The record is from Ensembl. NCBI's taxonomy places the organism in Eukaryota, Metazoa, Chordata, Mammalia, Pilosa, Megalonychidae.